GCCUUCUUAGCUCAGUGGUAGAGCGCGCCACUCGUAGUGCGACAUGGUGAGGUCGGUUGUUCAAUCCAGCCAGGAGGCA
This is a non-coding RNA of Daedaleopsis nitida, 79 nucleotides long. NCBI's taxonomy places the organism in Eukaryota, Fungi, Basidiomycota, Agaricomycetes, Polyporales, Polyporaceae. The record is from the annotation of a GenBank genome assembly.